GUAGGUGGCAAGCGUUGUCCGGAAUUAUUGGGCGUAAAGCGCGCGCAGGCGGUUCUUUAAGUCUGAUGUGAAAGCCCACGGCUCAACCGUGGGAGGGGUCAUUGGAAACUGGAGAACUUGAGUACAGAAGAGGAAAGCGGAAUUCCACGUGUAGCGGUGAAAUGCGUAGAGAUGUGGAGGAACACCAGUGGCGAAGGCGGCUUUUCUGGUCUGUAACUGACGCUGAGGCGCGAAAGCGUGGGGAGCAAACAGGGAUUAGAUACCCUGGUAGUCCACGCCGUAAACGAUGAGUGCUAAUGUUAGGGGGUUUCCGCCCCCUUAGUGCUGCAGCUAACGCAUUAAGCACUCCGCCUGGGGAGUACGGCCGCAAGGCUG
RNAcentral lists this ribosomal RNA (375 nucleotides) under uncultured organism. RNAcentral's name for it is "partial 16S ribosomal RNA". It matches the Rfam family "Bacterial small subunit ribosomal RNA", at positions 527 to 896 of the family's 1533-position model. The record is from RNAcentral.